GACGAACGCUGGCGGCGUGCUUAACACAUGCGAGUCGAACGGAAAGGCCUGCUUUCCCUUGUGGAUUGCGGGUACUCGAGUGGCGAACGGGUGAGUAACACGUGAGUGAUCUGCCCCCAACUUGGGUAUAAGCCUGGGAAACUGGGUCUAAUUCCCGAUAGGACUGCAGGGUGGUGCCUGUGGUGGAAAACGAUUUUCUAGUGGUUGGGGAUGAGCUCGCGGCCUAUCAGCUUGUUGGUGGGGUAAUGGCCUACCAAGGCGGCGACGGGUAGCCGGCCUGAGGGGGUGGACGGCCACAUUGGGACUGAGAUACGGCCCAGACUCCUACGGGAGGCAGCAGUGGGGAAUAUUGCACAAUGGGCGGAAGCCUGAUGCAGCGACGCCGCGUGGGGGAUGACGGCCUUCGGGUUGUAAACUCCUUUCGACCGCGAGGAAGCCACCUGGUUGGAAGGGUGGUGACGGUAGUGGUAGAAGAAGCACCGGCUAACUACGUG
RNAcentral lists this ribosomal RNA (494 nucleotides) under uncultured bacterium. Its description in RNAcentral is "partial 16S ribosomal RNA". It matches the Rfam family "Bacterial small subunit ribosomal RNA", at positions 28 to 507 of the family's 1533-position model. The record is from RNAcentral.